UACCAGCACCCCGAGUGGUCGGGACGAUUAUUGGGCCUAAAGCAUCCGUAGCCGGUUCUACAAGUCUUCCGUUAAAUCCACCUGCUUAACAGAUGGGCUGCGGAGGAUACUAUGGAGCUAGGAGGCGGGAGAGGCAAGCGGUACUUAGUGGGUAGGGGUAAAAAUCCGUUGAUCCAUUGAAGACCACCAGUGGCGAAGGCGGCUUGCCAGAACGCACUCGACGGUGAGGGAUGAAAGCUGGGGGAGCAAACCGG
This 254-nucleotide ribosomal RNA is filed under the name uncultured bacterium. RNAcentral's name for it is "partial 16S ribosomal RNA". It matches the Rfam family "Archaeal small subunit ribosomal RNA", at positions 474 to 727 of the family's 1478-position model. The record is from RNAcentral.